Molecule: long non-coding RNA, 526 nt
Filed under: Oryctolagus cuniculus (rabbit)
Lineage: Eukaryota; Metazoa; Chordata; Mammalia; Lagomorpha; Leporidae
Description: lncRNA (ENSOCUG00000032750.1)
Source: RNAcentral
CUAAUCUUAUCAUGAGUAAUGAACAAUGAGAGAAAUUGGUUAAUGGUCUUCUAUUGGAUUCAUUAAGGGAAAUAGUUUCAUCUCUAUCUGAUAGUUUAGCCAUUGUCCUACUUGAAAUUUGAAAUAAGCUGAGUGAAAUCUCCUUCAGCACAGUACAGUGAUUGUAUGGCUGUAUAUAUCACUGUUUUAGAUAACUAAAUAAAUAUAAAACUCCAAGGAACCCUGAAGCAGAAUUUCAGUAGCUGGGGCCUGAGAAUCAUUGAUGAUAUCAUGAUGCAUUGGUGAUUGUGAUGCAUAGGUUCUGAACGCACUAAUAUCCAUCAACAGCAUGUGCCCUGCCCCUGACAACUUGCAAUAGUUAAACGUUUUCAAGAACAAUGCUGCGCUGCUCAUUGAAAAGAUAUCCACAGGUACUAAACUUCAGGUCAGGAAACAUGGCUUCCUCUGCAGGUUGCAAAGAAGCCAGCUCUAUCUUCAAAAUGCAAACUCUCUGAGAAUAAAUUGUCAUAUGGCAAAUAAAUUGUCA